RNAcentral lists this transfer RNA (28 nucleotides) under Meliosma cornejoi. RNAcentral's name for it is "partial tRNA-Leu". The record is from RNAcentral. Lineage: Eukaryota; Viridiplantae; Streptophyta; Magnoliopsida; Proteales; Sabiaceae. RNAcentral also lists the same sequence under 2 other names.
GCCGCCAUGGUGAAAUCGGUAGACACGC